AUUGAACGCUGGCGGCAGGCUUAACACAUGCAAGUCGAGCGAGCGGCGGACGGGUGAGUAAUGUCUGGGAAACUGCCUGAUGGUGGGGGAUAACUACCGGAAACGGUAGCUAAUACCGCAUACCAUCAGAUGUGCCCAGAUGGGUUUAGCUAGUUGGUGGGGUAAGGGCUCACCUAGGCGACGAUCCCUAGCUGGUCGGAGAGGAUGACAAGCCACACUGGAACUGAGACACGGUCCAGACUCCUACGGGAGGCAGCAGUGGGGAAUGUUGCACAAUGGGAGCAAGCCUGAUGCAGCCAUGCCGAGUGUGUGAAGGAGGCAUUCGGGUUGUAAAGCUCUUUCAGCGAGGAGGCGUUACUCGAAGAAGAAGCACCGGCUAACUCCGUGCCAGCAGCCGCGGUAAUAC
This 406-nucleotide ribosomal RNA is filed under the name uncultured bacterium. RNAcentral describes it as "partial 16S ribosomal RNA". It matches the Rfam family "Bacterial small subunit ribosomal RNA", at positions 30 to 526 of the family's 1533-position model. The record is from RNAcentral.